This 398-nucleotide ribosomal RNA is filed under the name uncultured bacterium. Its description in RNAcentral is "bacterial SSU rRNA". It matches the Rfam family "Bacterial small subunit ribosomal RNA", at positions 30 to 426 of the family's 1533-position model. The record is from RNAcentral.
AUUGAACGCUGGCGGCAUGCCUUACACAUGCAAGUCGAACGGCAGCACGGGGGCAACCCUGGUGGCGAGUGGCGAACGGGUGAGUAACAUAUCGGAACAUACCCUAGAGUGGGGGAUAACGUAGCGAAAGUUACGCUAAUACCGCAUACGAUCUAAGGAUGAAAGUGGGGGAUCUUCGGACCUCAUGCUCAUGGAGUGGCCGAUAUCUGAUUAGCUAGUUGGUGAGGUAAAAGGCUCACCAAGGCGACGAUCAGUAGCUGGUUUGAGAGAACGACCAGCCACACUGGAACUGAGACACGGUCCAGACUCCUACGGGAGGCAGCAGUGGGGAAUUUUGGACAAAUGGGGGCAACCCUGAUCCAGCAAUGCCGCGUGAGUGAAGAAGGCCUUCGGUUGGU